CUAUAUCCUUUCAGCACAGAGCCCGAGUAUUCGGAAACAAGGUGUGAUUUUUCCUAACUGAACUGAUCGUUUCCAGUGCCUGACCUGAGAAAUCUGCGUGUCUUAUUACCUGGUGAUCUGGGAGAAUGGGAUCCUUUGUCUUCACACACACGAGUCACUCAACUUCCUGAAUGAAGUCAGGGAAAGAAGGAAGAAAAAUCCAGUGAGCUUCAGUUUCCUUAUUUGUCAAAGAGAGAUAACACCAUCUAUAUCACAUAGGUGUAUAUCUCUGAAUGCGAGCACAGGAAAACAACAGCAACAGAAAGACAAUUCAAUGUGCUGUCGACAGUGCAAUCUUUGGGACGAAGAUAAAAUGAAGAGAGGUGGAAUUGAGUAAUAGUUCAAUGAUCUGCUGCUCGGCCAAUAUUUUCCCGCCAGAGUUCAAGUUUCCUCUAAAUAGCUUCAUUCAGAUCAUUCACGCAGCAGUCCAGAGCCGGCCCCUGCUUCUCCAUCUCUGCCUGUCCCUGGGGCAGUUCUGCUCUCUGCACACUGCUGACACUCGGGAGUAGAGCUGGGCUCCACUUAACCAGUAGGCCACUUUUCUGCAAUACCUGCCUGCUGCCUGUCUCCAGACUGGCUGAUGUCACUACUCUGUCUGCUGGUAAGAAGAACCCAAACCUCUGGGCCCACGAAGACUGACUGUGAGAAGCCCAGUACUCACCCCGCUGCUCCUGCUCCAUCUUCAUCUGUGCUCCUGGAACACGCACAUGCCCCUCUGCCUGGAGCACCCACAAGACCUCACAGAUUGCAGACUUCCGCUUCAUACCAUGUCGUAUCUCAUUGCCCCACGUCAACUGGAGCCCAGAAGGCAGGGAAGUUUGUACAGUCCAUUCAAGGGUUCGAGCUGAAUGGAGAAUGGCAGAAAAUGAAACUUGGCAAAACAGAAGAAGAAUGGAGUCUGGAUGAAAGACUCUCCAAUGUGAAAUGAGCACUGCUUGAGCUGAGACAUAAAUGAACCAAUACCCGCUUUGUGAGUUUUCUCUUAAGGAUAACCAUCAUUAUUCAUUCCUCACACAACAAAAUUAUCAAUAAUAAUUCAUGAGACAAUUACAGUGGAAUCCCAAUACAGAGAGACAUCUGGAAUACCCAUUAGAGAGCCCCAUGUGACCAAAGGUUAAGAAACAGUACAAGGAGAAACAAGCAAGGACUCCGGAUUUCAUCACUGGAAGAAAUUGACAUGCUGAUUCCAAAAUUUAAAAGAACAGCCAAAACAACUUUGAUGAAGAGGAACAACUUUGGAGGAUUUAUACUGUGUGAUUUCAAGACUUACUGGCCUUUUCUCCAUUCAAGUCAGUCCACCUUGAGCUCUUUGCGUCAGGACAAGAUAAACCUUUUGGAGUCUGAAAACAUCCAUCUUUAGUUCUCUGCAGCCGGGGGUGAUGAGAGAGGGAAGGACUCCCGGAUAGUAACAGAUGUGGACGAGAUGGAUGAAUCUGUGUUGACAAAGCUCCCCACCUGAGACAGGAGGAGAGGUCCCAGGAGGUGGAUGGCAAGCCUGAACGUGGACAUGUGAGAUUUACCUACAGGAAUUAAAGCAUCAGCAGGGUCCGGAGCACAAGGAAAUGAAUGCAUUCCAACGUAUGACGGCAAGAAGCCCAGCACCACAAGGAGAGUGAUUCAGAUGCCGUGACCGAACUAGUAGAACCUGCUUUUAAUGGUCAGAAGAUGCUCGUUUCCUGAGGCUUGGGAUUGCUGAUUCUCCGGACACCCUUGGUGCCUGAAGAGGACAGAAUGCACAACAACCCGAAAGCCACCAGGAAAUGGAUGACCAACGCUGGAGACAAGGGAUUAUUUGAGGUGGAGGAGACUGAGGCAGGGAACAGUGAAAUGACUUGGUCAAAGUUUCUCCAAGAAUGAGCAGGAGAGCCACACCCAGGUCUCAGUGGAAGUCCAACCUCAUGGUCACAUUCUUCUCCACUGCACAUCUCAGGCUUUGUAUUAUCUUUUAAUGGAGGAAACGGGGGCUCAGAUGAAGGACCCAGCUUAACCAAGGGCCCCCAGCCAGGAAGUAGUGAUGUGAGGACUGGAAACCAUUUAUUGCUGAAGUAACAUGGAAACCACUUGAGAGCAUGGGCUUUGGAAUCAUUGGGAGUUGGAUGUGGACCUUCCUGGCUCUGUGACCUUAGGCAGUUGACCUGACACCUACAAAUGGGAUCAACUGCAGUGGCGCCCUCAUCAGGCUAUUGCGAGCCUCUGUGAGACCCUGACAUACACAGUGGGUUGAGCACGCUGCCUGACACGCAGCAGCCCUUGCAAGUACCUAUUGAGGACCUGCUAUUCCAGCUGCUUUUAACCUUCUUCAUGACCCACUGGGUAGGUCGUACUGUCCCACUUUUCAGAUGAGCAUAUUCUGGGUAAGUCACUCACCCCAGUUGCUUAGCUGUGAACUGAUGAAGGCAGGAUUCAAACUUACGCAAUCCAGCUCCAGACGCCCAACCUUCUUCUUUGCCAAGCUGUUCUGUCUGCACCUGCACUCAGUGUUGUAGUAAAACAGGCCUCAGGAAAGCACAGUAGGCAUUCUUCCCACCACAUAGCAGGGUGGUCCUUGGAAAUAAAUCUGUGGGGAUGAGCAAGGAAAGAUGCCAUGGAAGGUGGGUCACUCUGUGCGGGGAGGCAGGAAGCAGCAUCCUCAGGGCAGAUGGAGGACUAAAAGCAUCCCUGCCCAGGGGUCUCAGCAGCCCAGAAGGCCACUAAGAAGAGGCCUGGCCCCUCAUUCCACAAUCCAUUGUUGGCCAAACCUGCUCAGGGAAAAGUGAGUUGGGUGAGCAACAUGGCCAAACGUCUGGGAAGGGCCCCCCUUUUGCAAAUCCCACAGAAGCAAGUUUUACUGGAUUUGGAAAGGCUAAGUCCAUCCUGGGCCUCAGCCCAGGGGCAGGCGGGGUUAGGAGGGGUCAGCCCGCUGCACUGUCAGUGUCAGCUGUGUGCUCUGAAGCUACAAGGCCAGCAUCAUUUAGAGCAACUGAGCUUGACCACCGCAUCUACGUUACUUACCUUCCAUCUGGUGGUGGUUCCCUUUUUUGAAGCUGGACUGUGUUGUGGCUGGCCUUCCAGUUUAUUCCAUUCUCGUUGCUGAGCUGCUCAGGCUCUUGCUCAGCAGUGUACUUUAGAGAACAAAGAGAGUCGAGAACUGUAGGAAGGUCUUCUCUUUAUCAGUUGAAACAUGCUUGCAUCACUUUCCCUAAAGUGGAAGAAAGGGGUACAGAUGUUAGAUUUGCACUUUCCUGACUUUAUCUUUUCCCCCCCGGUUUCUUCACCAAGAAUCAUAGGGCAUGCAUGAGCAUAGCCUGAGUAGCCACUUGUCCAGGAUGCUCAGAUGGAUAGGGAUGCUGGAGGUCACCUGAAUCACAUGGGACUUUGAGCCAGAUAAACCUCCAGGGCUGCUGCAAAUGGUAAGACCCCAUGCCUCCUACAGCGUCAUCUGAAGUGGGUAAGUUGGGAUGAGCAUCCCUCUUGGGGUGAGGAGUUGGUCAAUAAUAAUACUUCAGUCCUAUAACUGUACAUGUAACUCAUUGAUUCCCUACAAUAAUCGUAUGUGGUAGGUACUAGUAUUAUUCCUAUUAUAGAGAGGAGGAAGCUGAGUCACAGAGAGAUUGAGAGACUGAUCCAAGGAUACACAGGUAGUUUAUAGCAGAGCUGGGAUCUGAGCCCAGGCAGAUAGACUCCAGUGUCUGUGUUCUUAAACUCCAACCAGUAUAGCCUCUCUAAGGUGGCCCAAAGCAGUGAAGUGACCUGCCCACAAGAUACGGAGUCAUGGCUUAGAAUCCAGCCUGUGAUCUCAACAAGAAACCACACUGGGUUUAGAGCUCAGAGCCAACUGGUCUGGUCCACACUCUGCAGUGGAUGGUGAUCGCCCUUCCCAGCCUUCCCCUGCCCCGUGACGCACCCUUCCCAUGCCCGCCAAAGCCUGUGCUGUCUCUUGCUUCCAGACCUUUGAGCCCUCCUGUCCUUCAGCUUGGUACACACACCACUCCCCUUGCCUGGAUCACCCCUACUCACCAUUCCAGACUGAACUGAGACCUCCUCGCCACCUUGGCCUUCCAAAUCUGACGUUUGUGCCCCUCCUGCCUGCACACUUGUCAAACCCAACUUCCCCGUCUGACGUCUUCCAGACCGUCAGCUCCAAGAGGGAAGAGAUGAGCUCUGUACUUGACAUGUCACAGCAUCUCAAUAAAUUUUUAGUGGCACAAAUUUAAGGGGUGGGAGGACUUGCAGCUGCCCCAGUAUGCCCCAGGCAGAGGAUUCAUCAGCACUUCUUCUAGUUCCUCUAGGGUACCAUGCUCUCCCUCACCACUGGGCCUUUAUACAUACUUUUCCCACAUCUUAAACAUUUUCGAAUGUCCUCCUUUUUAAUCUAGUCUUCUGUCCCCUAACCUGGUCAGGUUGCCUUGUUUUAAGCUCUCAUGGCCCCCUGCAGUUUUCCUUUAGAGAAGUAGUUCCCAAAGUGUGAUCCCUGGACUCCCUCCCGGGAGGUCCCUUAGGCCUUUUCAGGGAGUUUGUGAGAUCAAAACUGUUAUUAUAAAUAUUUAAUCAUGAAGAAAAUACACAGUACACUUCAAGUGAAUACAAUAUUAUAUGUCAGUUUUAUUUCAAUUAAAAAAAGAAUACACAAAGCAAAUCAUAGUAGGUGCUUAAUAAAUAUUCAAAAAUUAAGUAAACCAAAGCCCUCCUGAUGGGUAUGAGUGUCACUGUACAUUCCUGAGACAAACCCCCUCCCUCACCAAGAACCUACACACACACAGACGCUAAAUUCUGCCCUUGGGAAGGGGCUGUGGAAGAUGCCUCCAGGGGUAGAUGAGGGAGGAGGAGGAAUGAAGGCAACUUAUCCCCUGAAACUGGGCACCCAUGGGGCAAAAUCUUUGGGGCUCAGCAUGGUGGUGUCAAUGUGCAACUUCCCACUUGGCUCUGCAUUUCUCCAGUUUCUUGCAGAUGCAUCUGGAACACAUUAGAAAGGGGUCAGACUGGUUUGGAAAAUGUUUGGGUAACUCUGGACAUGGGAGGUGGAGCUGGAAACCUGUGGGAAAGAACAUGACCCCCAGACAGAGUUCACAGUUAUGGCUGGAGAGCUGCAUGCCCACCGGUCCAGGACAGGCCCUCUGGGCCUCCGCAGCUCAGGCCCUACCUAUCUGGCUCCACCUUCAUCCCUCAGAGACCCCUUUUCAGACUUGCUUUGGUAAGGAGACAUCCCUGUGUGCCUCGUCCUUUCCCCAUUUUCCUUCUCCUGACCCAGACCACAAACUUAACACAACCCAGGCCCUGCUCCAUGAAUAAUAAUGGUCAUGACAGUAAUCAGAACCCAUAAAUCAUUUCCCUUCUCUUGAGCUCACAUGUCCCAGGUGAAGAGCUUCACACACAUUCUCCCAUUUUAUCCUUUGAAUAAAUCCUCAAAUCAUAUGUAUUCCUGUUCCCACUUCACAGACAGGGAAACUGAGAGGCAGGAAGAUAACCCAACUCUCUCAGGGUUGUAAGGUUGAAACUCAAAUCCAGGGUUGUCUAGCACCAAAAUUUGUUUCACACCCUCACAGCACACGCAUAUCCCAGGUAAGAUGAAAGAAUCCGUCUGGAAGCUACUUCCUUUUCCCCCAAAUCAAGGAGAUGCAGCAGCUAAGAGAAGGCGCUAGAAAGCAGAGGAAAACUUAUUAUCCGUGACACCUGGGUACCUGUAACAAGAAGCUCCUGUUUCAAAUUCAACCGCCCCUGCCCUCAGCUGUCGCUCCCAGAUUAAAUUUCUAACGCCGUCUUCACGCGAGAGUUGACCGCGGGAGAGCAGCUACCGCGGGCUCAGCACGCGCUUCCUCCGUCCACCCGGCCCUCGGAAGACGGGAACACUUCGCCUUAGGGAGAAAGUAGUCGUCGAAAAAACAGCUGAAAUCUUUCGCUUGGACCAGCCCUGAGAAGGCCCGGGCUCAUGUUGGACGUGGGGCGUGCGGUGGAGCCCAGGCAGGGCUCCGCAGAGCAGAGCGGGGACAGAGCGGGGGCCGGCCGGGCCCUUCCCUGCUCGCGCCCCGCGGUCACAGGACAGCACGGCCCGAGGCCCGAGCUGGUGGCGGUGCUCAAAAGGGGACGAGGGAAGCCUGCCGUCAACUUCACCGACACUUUUUCUCGGUCUGGACCUGCGUUGUCCCAUACGGCAGCCACGAGCCACCUGUGACCCGGACUGCGGCUGGUCUGAAUCCGGAUGGCCUGCGUGAAAUACACGCUAGAUCUCCCGACUUAGCACAAGAAAAAUCAAUUCCACGUGGUGGCAAUCAGGCCCAUUUCACAAAUGAAGAAACAGACUCAGAGUGAAAGAGGAACUUGCUCAGUAUCCUGUGGAGCCAGGCUCUGAAGCCGAGAAGUCGAUAUUGCAGCCUCUACGCUCCAUAGUGUUGCAGGAAGAGCAAAGAUGGACCAAGGCUGUGAGCUCCUGGAGUAUGAGAGAUGUGUCCUGGACCAUUCCCAUCCUCGUGACCCUACUCUCCAGUGAUGGUUUUGAAAGUACUGUGAUGAUGACAGAGAGAUCCAGGUGAAUGCAGGAAAACGACAUUAGCAGCAACUCCUAUACCUCGAACACUCAUCCCAGAGAUUGUUCUCCAUUCCCCAUCUGCGUCAUCUGGAUUCAUCCCCACCACCCGCCUCUGAGGGCAGAGCUGUUUCAUCCCCAUUUCAGGGAAGGACAGUGAGGCCCAGGCAGAUGCCCACGAAAGAAGUCACUGAGGGAAGACGCGGCACUGGGCGUGGAAACAAAGACAAGACAAGAUGGAGACAAAAGCGGGAAGGAAAGGGGUAGCAUGCAUGCAAAAUGAGAAAGUUUCCAAAAGGAAGGGCGGACACUUCAUGAGGUGAUUGUGUACAGUGCCUCGAUUGGCCUCCAGGAAGACGCAAAGAGAAGUCCCCACCAGCAUUCUGCUCUCAGACCUCAGGCACCUGAGGAACAUGUGGCAAGAGAGGUGUUUUCAUCCUCCC
Molecule: non-coding RNA, 6981 nt
Organism: Vicugna pacos (alpaca)
Lineage: Eukaryota; Metazoa; Chordata; Mammalia; Artiodactyla; Camelidae
Source: RefSeq, a predicted model, not a curated record